This is a long non-coding RNA of Octopus sinensis (East Asian common octopus), 166 nucleotides long. RefSeq lists it as uncharacterized. The record is from RefSeq and is a predicted model, not a curated record. The transcript has 3 exons. NCBI's taxonomy places the organism in Eukaryota, Metazoa, Mollusca, Cephalopoda, Octopoda, Octopodidae.
GUGAGACCAAGGUGAAUAAUGAUGAGCUGGAAGCUGUAGUGGAAGCGGAUGCAUCUGAAACUACGCGUGAGUUAGCAGCAAUGUUUGAUGUUUUGAUUCCAACUGUAUUGGACCAUCUGAAACAAAUCGGCAAGGUAAAGAAGCUGAACCAGCGAGUACCAGACAA